Molecule: RNA transcript, 797 nt
Organism: Eucalyptus grandis
Lineage: Eukaryota; Viridiplantae; Streptophyta; Magnoliopsida; Myrtales; Myrtaceae
Exons: 4
Source: RefSeq, a predicted model, not a curated record
CCAGUCAGUUAUCUUUCUCUCUGAGCGAGCGCGAGAGACGAUCGGACGAGAAGCUCCUCGACCUCGCUUCCCUUCGCAAUGGUGAAUCUCUUCUCUCUCCAUGACUACUCGAGUCGUCGAGCUUCUUCACUGAAUCUCUCGCAGUGCCCUAUGUUUCUCAUUGCAAGUGAUUAUUUGAAGACGGCGAUUCCUUCGCAGCUCAUCUCGGAGAGAGAGGCUCCAAUCUCGUCGUCAUCAACCUGGUUCUGCGAACAUCGGAGUGGGUCUCGCUCAGCAGGACGCGCCUUUCGUUGUCCCUCAUUGCAUCGCCUGCUACACCAGCCAGCUCCCCAAGCGAAACGUGCAAGACCAGAUGCUCAAUUCUCAAGUUACGACGGCGCAACACAUGGCGCGAGAGAAGGCUCAUGAUAUUAUAGCAUUGUUGUUGAAGAUUCCGUUCUUGGAUGAGGAGGUCACGAACAGCAGCUCUUUCCAGCGCAAGGUUUGCAAGCUUUUUUGAAAAAAAUUGUUGGACCUAGUUCUUCAUUGCCCGAGUUAAGCUGCUUUCUCGCUUCCACCUAAUCUUUAAAAUCACAUGGCAGACUUAGAGGAGGCCCUUUUUUGUUAACUUCACUGUUUUCAUCGUUCAAUUAUCUUAUUAUUCUGUCGUUUGAGUCGGCUACUUGAAGUUCCAGUAUUUUAAGGCAAUUCUCUUGACUGUUUUUUGUUCUUCAUACGGUAUUCAAGAUAAUGAAGUGUUUUCAUUUUUAUGGGCAUAGUGUCCUCUGAGGAAUUUUUGUUUCUUUGACGGUUAGUAA